Molecule: long non-coding RNA, 572 nt
Filed under: Monodelphis domestica (gray short-tailed opossum)
Lineage: Eukaryota; Metazoa; Chordata; Mammalia; Didelphimorphia; Didelphidae
Description: lncRNA (ENSMODG00000050681.1)
Source: RNAcentral
GCCAAGCCAACUGCUGGAAUGGGUGGAAAGGCUUUUGCUGACUGGCUGAGGUGAAGGAAAGAAUCUAGUUGUAUCUCUGGGACUUGAGCUAAUCAAGUUGGAGGUAUUUUGACUCAACAUGUGCAAAAUUGAUUUCAUUGUCCUUCAAGACCAUUCCUUUUCCUAAUUUCAGUAUUUCUAUCCAAGGCCCACCUAAUUCAGAGAAAUGAAUUUAUUCUACCCACCCACUCCAGAAGUAAUGUCUUUAUAUAAAAUAUUUUUAAAAAAUUCUAAAGAUGACCUUCCUCUAGUUAUAUUAAAGGCCACCUCCCCUCCAAUCACUGUCAUUACCUGUGGACUUGGGAGAUCACUAAGUUUUUUUCAUGAACUAGAAAAUUAGGCAACUUUUCACAUUUGCAUUCUCAUACCAAAACCACAAGGAAGUGAAGACAUGAUUAAAUUAUGAAGAGAAUGAGCAGGCUGUGUAUAAAAGAGAACCUAGUAUGGAAGACUGAAUUUUGAUUGCACUUUUUAAUUGGCAGAGCAUCAUUUAUUAUGCAAGAAGCCUUUUGUUUUCUCAGUUGGUGGGUUCA